RNAcentral lists this ribosomal RNA (212 nucleotides) under uncultured bacterium. RNAcentral's name for it is "partial 16S ribosomal RNA". It matches the Rfam family "Bacterial small subunit ribosomal RNA", at positions 524 to 733 of the family's 1533-position model. The record is from RNAcentral.
UACGGAGGGAGCUAGCGUUGUUCGGAAUUACUGGGCGUAAAGCGCACGUAGGCGGCUACUCAAGUCGGGGGUGAAAGCCCGGGGCUCAACCCCGGAACUGCCCUCGAAACUAGGUGGCUAGAAUCUUGGAGAGGUCAGUGGAAUUCCGAGUGUAGAGGUGAAAUUCGUAGAUAUUCGCAAGAACACCAAGUGGCGAAGGCGGCUCAACUGGC